AUGUAUUAUUACGAGAUCAAUUUUCAUGAUCUAUCCCCCAAUUGCUUCCUCAACAUCUCGACAUUCAUUGUUGUGUGCGAGACUUUUCUCCACAUCCCGCCACACUUCGGCUUAUGGCUGAAGAUCUUUAAUGUGAAGCCCAAGGUAGUGGACGGUGAGCACGCUGAGUGCGGGGGCGCUAUGGUGAGCAAGAUGCCCAACAUCACAUGGACAACAAGUACCUUCAAUGAUUCCGUCAGGGAGUGGCACUGGAGUGGUUUUACAUUACUGAGCCGCGCGGCGCGAAGUGGGCCGCUGCUCCCGAGUUCCGAUCCGGAGCCCCUCUACGGCUCACGUCCUAGCUCAAGAAGGGUCUGGACUGGUCUUCAUCUGACGAACUAUUGGCGCUCCAGACGCUUGUCAAGGAUAUGGACGACAAGAAUAUCAAACUUGUCAAUGUAG
This 441-nucleotide ribosomal RNA is filed under the name Triticum aestivum (bread wheat). RNAcentral describes it as "partial small subunit ribosomal RNA". The record is from RNAcentral. Lineage: Eukaryota; Viridiplantae; Streptophyta; Magnoliopsida; Poales; Poaceae.